Molecule: unclassified non-coding RNA, 339 nt
Filed under: Melitaea cinxia (Glanville fritillary)
Lineage: Eukaryota; Metazoa; Arthropoda; Insecta; Lepidoptera; Nymphalidae
Description: misc RNA ENSMCXG00005018745.1
Source: RNAcentral
ACAAAGAAUAAAUUCGAAAUACCCAGAAUCAACAAAUCGGUUACGUAAGCGAUAUAAUUCCUUUGAUUCUAAAUGUACCCUAUUUACGAGUUAAAGUAUCUCAAUAAGUAAAGUUUUUGAUAUCCAUAGCGCUGUGGGACGAAUGCCUAUACCGUGGUGGAAAGACUCUGUCACUCGUAGCAGUUGAGGUUAGUCGCUGCUAAAGAAAUCAAUAAGCUGAAGUUUUGAACGCGAUAAGCGAAGAUUAGUAACAAGAGGUCGUGAUAACUAAAUAUACUUUUGAAUACAACUAAUCCAUGAUUCAUAGCUAAUCCAUGUACUCUAAGGAAAAAUAUGAUG